ACCCUCAGAGACUGACCCCAACUCUCCCCCCAGGAGAAGCCAGGAGUCCGCAGAGACCCUGCCCUGCGAGCAUGCCAUGCCUGGCCUCCAGAGCCCUGUGGUGUUGACCCCAGGCCCCAAGACCACCAGGAGGCGCCUCCUGCUCUUCAGGAACUGGCUGGUCACCACCAAGCAGAGGUCUACCAAGAGCUUCAGAUCCAAAGAGAAGCUGCCUCUCUCUGACUUGCAGGCAGCGUCCUGGGACAGAGAGGAACUGCUGGAUGAUGCCUGUGAUCUCAUUCCCAGUCGAGGAAAUUCUCCCUUCCUCCCCGUGGCCUUGGACCCUUGUGUCACAGAGUUUCAGUGAGUACCAGCCACUUAUACUGCAUAAUGACCACACAAUGUUCCAGGAGCCCCCAGUCCUCCCAUUACUCUUGACCAUCACAACAGACGGAACAUGGACGUGUCUGCGGAAGGGAGACCCAGGUGUGGCUGCAGUAUGGUCCCCUGAGGGUUUCUCAGUCUGUUUUUACCUUUUCC
This 519-nucleotide long non-coding RNA is filed under the name Ictidomys tridecemlineatus (thirteen-lined ground squirrel). Its description in RNAcentral is "lncRNA (ENSSTOG00000032970.1)". Lineage: Eukaryota; Metazoa; Chordata; Mammalia; Rodentia; Sciuridae. The record is from RNAcentral.